This 492-nucleotide ribosomal RNA is filed under the name uncultured bacterium. RNAcentral describes it as "partial 16S ribosomal RNA". It matches the Rfam family "Bacterial small subunit ribosomal RNA", at positions 29 to 507 of the family's 1533-position model. The record is from RNAcentral.
AGUGAACGCUGGCGGUAGGCCUAACGCAUGCAAGUCGAACGGCAGCACAGUAAGAGCUUGCUCUUACGGGUGGCGAGUGGCGGACGGGUGAGGAAUACAUCGGAAUCUACUUUUUCGUGGGGGAUAACGUAGGGAAACUUACGCUAAUACCGCAUACGACCUACGGGUGAAAGCAGGGGAUCUUCGGACCUUGCGCGAUUGAAUGAGCCGAUGUCGGAUUAGCUAGUUGGCGGGGUAAAGGCCCACCAAGGCGACGAUCCGUAGCUGGUCUGAGAGGAUGAUCAGCCACACUGUAACUGAGACACGGUCCAGACUCCUACGGGAGGCAGCAGUGGGGAAUAUUGGACAAUGGGCGCAAGCCUGAUCCAGCCAUACCGCGUGGGUGAAGAAGGCCUUCGGGUUGUAAAGCCCUUUUGUUGGGAAAGAAAAGCAGCAGGUUAAUACCCCGCUGUUCUGACGGUACCCAAAGAAUAAGCACCGGCUAACUUCGUG